GUCGAAGGGCUCUCCCGAUCCACUUGGAAGGACACUUGAAAAGGAUGAGAAGAGGCUUGAGCUGUUGACAGGUGAUACUUACUGGUUCCUCGUUGGAGAUCGAGGUACAGGGGUCCAUUCCAGGAUGAUACUUAGAUGUCCACCGUUGGGGGUUGAAGUCCAGUGGUCCAGUCCAGGGUGCAACAGUUGGGUUCCAGAACUGGAGGAAGGAGAUGCGUGAGAGUCAGAGAUAAGCUAAUGGGAAGUAACCAACUGGAAUGAAGGAGUGCAUGAGAAAGCUUUACUUACCAUUGUACAUGUUUCUGACGGCCUCCUUCUUUGCCCCCCCUUACCCUUCUCAGGUUUCCCGGGAUCUCCAUCUUUGUCUUCUUCAGUGGGUCGGUGUAUCAUGCAGAGAGGUCCAUUGGUGGUUCGAUACGUGGGAUAGUGGAUGUCAGGACGAGUGGGCAGCUGAGUGGUUUGGAAACCAACUUUAAUCAGACUUCCAACACUUUUACUGGACUCUGUGUGGCAGCUAAACACAAACAUUAUUUUUAUAUAUUUUUAUAUAUAGAUUUUUUCAGUUUGUACUU
Long non-coding RNA from Polyodon spathula (Mississippi paddlefish), 572 nucleotides. RefSeq lists it as uncharacterized. NCBI's taxonomy places the organism in Eukaryota, Metazoa, Chordata, Actinopteri, Acipenseriformes, Polyodontidae. The transcript is spliced from 3 exons. The record is from RefSeq and is a predicted model, not a curated record.